UACAGAGGGUGCAAGCGUUGUUCGGAAUUACUGGGCGUAAAGCGCGUGUAGGUGGCCAGGCAAGUCGGGUGUGAAAGCCCCGGGCUCAACCCGGGAAGUGCACUCGAAACUGCUUGGCUCGAGUGCCGGAGAGGGAAGCGGAAUUCUCGGUGUAGAGGUGAAAUUCGUAGAUAUCGAGAGGAACACCAGUGGCGAAGGCGGCUUCCUGGACCGACACUGACACUGAGGAGCGAAAGCCAGGGGAGCAAACGGG
This 253-nucleotide ribosomal RNA is filed under the name uncultured bacterium. RNAcentral's name for it is "partial 16S ribosomal RNA". It matches the Rfam family "Bacterial small subunit ribosomal RNA", at positions 524 to 776 of the family's 1533-position model. The record is from RNAcentral.